UCCUAUCUUGAGUUCCUCCAAACCCAUCUACCAUUCAACUUACAAUACCCCAUAUGAUGAAGAGACCAUUCGUUGUAGGUAUUUGAGUUUCUCAGAACUCAGGUGGUCUCCCCCCAAGAGCCACACCAUACUCUCUAAAUACCAAGGUGAGUGCCAUACCAUAUGGAAGAUGUGAAUCACAUGGAAACAAAGUCAAACCUACCAAUCUUUGGAAAGAGAAUCCGCCUGAUGAUAUGGUGAAGUAGCCUCAUCUCAGAAGACAACUAGUUUGCCAAGAUCUCCUCCAGAAUAUCAACUUAUUGCCUCUCUAGGAUGACUUAUAGAGCUACCACUCAAUCAAAUAGACAACCAGCUUGGUGUAGCUCCCUACCUCAACAACUGAAGGAUCUGUGUUAACCACUUCUCAGUCAAGAUGAUGCACAUGCCCUUCAUCGAACACUCAAUACCUCC
RNAcentral lists this long non-coding RNA (450 nucleotides) under Elaeis guineensis (African oil palm). Its description in RNAcentral is "long non-coding RNA (EGUI_LNC008144)". Lineage: Eukaryota; Viridiplantae; Streptophyta; Magnoliopsida; Arecales; Arecaceae. The record is from RNAcentral.